This 32-nucleotide non-coding RNA is filed under the name Mus musculus (house mouse). Lineage: Eukaryota; Metazoa; Chordata; Mammalia; Rodentia; Muridae. The record is from RNAcentral.
UAAUAGAUUGAAAAAAGAAUUUCAGGUUCUGU